Molecule: ribosomal RNA, 255 nt
Filed under: uncultured bacterium
Lineage: Bacteria
Description: partial 16S ribosomal RNA
Rfam family: Bacterial small subunit ribosomal RNA
Source: RNAcentral
GUCCACGCCGUAAACGAUGGAUACUAGCUGUUGGGAGCAAUCUCAGUGGCUAAGCGAAAGUGAUAAGUAUCCCACCUGGGGAGUACGUUCGCAAGAAUGAAACUCAAAGGAAUUGACGGGGGCCCGCACAAGCGGUGGAGCAUGUGGUUUAAUUCGAUGAUACGCGAGGAACCUUACCAAGGCUUAAAUGUAGAUUGACAGGUUUGGAAACAGAUCUUUCUUCGGACAAUUUACAAGGUGCUGCAUGGUUGUCGU